UUAGUUUAAUGAAACUAAUUAAAGAGAUAAAAGAAAAAUAAUUAUUUGUGAAUAAUUAUGAAAGGCCAUAGAUGUGGAAUGAACCUUGAAUUUAUUUCAAGUGUUUUCCUGAAUCGAACCCGAUAGAGUAGGUUCGUAAUUCUCGAAGAGUCGAGAAUGAGAAGGAAUUGUGAAUCGGUUACGUUGAAAUAACGACCGAAAAGGAUAGUGUUUUGUGAAAAGUUUUUAAUGUGAUGAUUGUUUGUAUACGAUAUGAUAUCGUAUUUAUGUGGCUACGUGUUUAGAGGUCGGUAAUAGAUUUAGAAUUCUAUUUUUGAGAUCGACUUAACACGAUUCCUGAAUAUAGAUGUGACGGAAAGUCAACUAUUGACGGAUCAAAUUGAAGGAGCACCGGUUGGAAUAGACCGAGUGGCUAAUAGUGGAUCAUCGUGGCGUAUUUAAUUAUUUAUGGAGCGACAGUCUGAAUAUUGCCUGUGUCUGGACGAGACUUCAUCUUUUUGAUUCAUGAAGUCUUCGUUUUGCGUAUAUGGUAUUUGGUCUUAUCUUGAUCUGUAGAGCUGCAGUAGAAUAGAUAGACAGACGCCUUAGCAUGUCAGUAUUUGCGAUGUUUGCCACGCAUGAACUCUGUUUUGUUUUCAUCGCACGAUUAUAAUAUAUUUUAACGACAUGCAUUAAAGUAUUGGAAAAUAGUUGCAACCCGGGUACACGGUAGUACCGAGAGUUUUGAGAUACAGUGUAAAGAAAACUGUACGCAACUAUGUUAUGUGUAUAAUGUGGGGCCCAACGUGGCUAUAUGCAUGAUUGCAUGUUAUCGGUUUUGUAAAAGACGGUAUUCGAGGAAUACGCGUUAAAACGAUAACUAGUAAUUGAAAAGUAACGGUUUUAAUUUAA
Long non-coding RNA from Mercurialis annua (annual mercury), 891 nucleotides. RefSeq lists it as uncharacterized. The transcript has 2 exons. NCBI's taxonomy places the organism in Eukaryota, Viridiplantae, Streptophyta, Magnoliopsida, Malpighiales, Euphorbiaceae. The record is from RefSeq and is a predicted model, not a curated record.